Molecule: long non-coding RNA, 2474 nt
Filed under: Homo sapiens (human)
Lineage: Eukaryota; Metazoa; Chordata; Mammalia; Primates; Hominidae
Description: non-protein coding lnc-C5orf67-3:1
Source: RNAcentral
AAGACAAGACAAGAUCAGCAGGAGAAGGGUUGGACGCAUGGUACCUUUCCAUGGAAAUCCUGUCUGGGGUUCAUGACCCAGAGUCUUGGUCUGUUUGCUUGUCUCACAGUGCACAAGAGGCAAGAGCUUAGAAAGCAGAUCAGGGAAGAGUGGGGAGGAAGGUAUUUGUGCAUCCCUGUGGGGGAAAGGUGGGCACUUCCCAGCACAGCCCGGGACAGUGCGAGGAAUGGCACAGAGGAACACUCUGCUUUUUGGUUCACAGUAUGGCCAGGACAGAAAUGAGACCUUUCUCUACAUCCUGAGGUUUUAUUUUCUUUGUCUUUCUCAGGUGGAGCAGUUAGGUCAGGCCAAGCCUGGCCCUGUUCUGAUACAGCUCACCUAGCAGAUUUGAAGUUAGACUAUUUACAACAAGAAGAAGGCAUGCCCUGCCAUGGCAAAACCUCACCAGGUCUCCCUGUAUGAUUCUUGAAUGUCUUCUUUAGCAAGGUUACACCUGGCACACAGACCCUAUCAGCCACUGACUGCAUUCCUUACAAACCCAAACCCAUUGGUGGGCAGAGCGGGAAGGUGGCUGGCCACCAUCCAGACAGUAAACAAUAGAGGCAAUUAUUAUGCAGCCAUUAAUCUUGUCAAUUACACAUUAACCCAGGCUGUGUGUAAACAGGAGCACAAUCCUCAUUCUUUUUCUCUGCCUUUCUCAAUGGCUUCCCACCCCACCUCCUCAGAAAAUAAAAAGGGACUGCAUUCUACCACAUUCUCAAUAUCAUCCUUAAUUCCACUUUUUCACUUAUGGAAACAAUCAUACCAAUCUGGAAAUUCCUUUAACCUGUGUAUCGAUUUUAUCUUUUUGUGUGUGUGUGUGAUUUCUAUUACAUAUGAUACUCUGCUGAGUGCUUGGGAAGCUGAUUUUGCUGUUUUCUACAAAUCUAUGGUUCCUUUUUCACUUUGAACUCCCCAGUUGAAAAGGCUAUAUUCAUAUAUAUUACCUCAUGAGGUAAUAUAAUGAUUGAUAGCACAAAUUUAUUACAUGUUUUGAAGUCGCUUUCUAAUAUACCUGGAUAAGGAUCUAUUUCCUAUUCAUCUUCAUCUGGGUAGAUGCCACCCAAAGACAUCCUUGUCCACUUAAAAACCUGUAGCAGUUGGCUUUGUGGUCAAAGGAGAUUUUUGUUUUUUAAAGUGAGGAGCAGUUCUGGAAGCAAUUAGAUCUGGCAUUGUUCAGGGCAGAUGGUGAAGUGGGCAGAGAUUCUCUUCAAAGCCUCUAGCCUUUCAUUUUCCUGUGCUCACUCUUCCUUUAGUACACUUGACCUCUCCUUUCCCUCCUCCUCCUCCAAAGCCAUCUCUAAGAAAUGGCCCACGUCAGUCAUUUAUCUCUUCCUGGGCAUUAAAGAGUCUGGGGAAUGCUCAUUCCUGCUGUGUUUUCACUGAAAGCCUUAUCUUUAAUUGUGGAAUGAAAGGAAUUUCAGGUAUUGGAUCACAGCUCAAAGUUCAAGUUUUUAACGUUCUAUUCACAUAGCAGUCAGGAAAAAAAAAUCCUUUUUGAUUGGAAGGAGGGCAGUUUUCACAGGCCCUCUUCUCAGGCUCUGGUGGUGAUCCGUCUCUGUUCUCUCCUCUUUGUGGAGCCAUUCUGGAAGACAAGGCUUGAGGUUGGGGUGGGCAGGACAAGUAGCACAGAGAUUUCUCAAACGUUGCUGGAUAAGGUGUUUGAGACCGAUUUCAGUAGAACCCUAAUACACAUUAGGUAAGAUUUCUGAAUCAGGAAUGUGAGAAAGGUCUGUUGAAACUGGGCAUCAAUACCCUUUUUCCUUGGGAUAUGUCAGGGAAUUCCCCAAGAGGCUUCAAUGUUCAGGGCAGCCCUGCUACCCUAUUUUUUGGGUGGUGGGGUGGGAACUUGGAAAGAGGUCUUGCUGGCUGAAAUUAAAUUAGCAUGUUGUUUCGAGGGAGUUGGGAACAUUUUCAAGUUGCUGUGCAUAAACCUGCGAGCUCAUUUUCUCAGAUUUGGUUCAUGCAUAUAGGGUGGUACUAUGUAUUCACUAGAAAGGGUUCAGACUUGUUGCAUCUUGGUUCUGUCUCUAGAUCUAGGAUAAUGCAUUUAUUCCAAAACUUAAUUUUGGUAAAACGAAAGAAUCAACUAGGCAAUCACUGAGGUUCCUUCUAGCUUCAAAAAUCCCGAUGAUCUCUGAGAUCUAUGAAUUAAAAUUAAUUGGUGCAACUUGUGGGAUGUUAUUUAAGUGAAAAUUCUUAGAGUCAGGGCACUAGUGAAAGGUAAGAGCCAGGAAUGCAGGGGAUACUGGUCAUUUUCCAUAGCUUCUUUCCUCCCAAAUUGUAGCAAUUCUGGGGUUGUGGGAAGAAGUAGAGAUAUGAGUGGCAAAUCAAUACAAACUGUGUCACCAAUAAGGUUGUUCAGGGAAAUAAGUUUAUAAAGAGUGGAAAGGAACAGGCUGAGCCUGACAGGGUUAAAGGAAGCACCAAUUUCU